AUUGAACGCUGGCGGCAGGCCUAACACAUGCAAGUCGAACGGUAGCACAGAGAGCUUGCUCUCGGGUGACGAGUGGCGGACGGGUGAGUAACGUCUGGGAAACUGCCCGAUGGAGGGGGAUAACUACUGGAAACGGUAGCUAAUACCGCAUAUCGUCGCAAGACCAAAGUGGGGGACCUUCGGGCCUCACACCAUCGGAUGUGCCCAGAUGGGAUUAGCUAGUAGGUGGGGUAAUGGCUCACCUAGGCGACGAUCCCUAGCUGGUCUGAGAGGAUGACCAGCCACACUGGAACUGAGACACGGUCCAGACUCCUACGGGAGGCAGCAGUGGGGAAUAUUGCACAAUGGGCGCAAGCCUGAUGCAGCCAUGCCGCGUGUAUGAAGAAGGCCCUCGGGUUGUAAAGUACUUUCAGCGGGGAGGAAGGCGGUGAAGUUAAUAGCUUAACCGAUUGACGUUACCCGCAGAAGAAGCACCGGCUAACUCCGUGCCAGCAGCCGCCGCCG
Molecule: ribosomal RNA, 504 nt
Filed under: uncultured bacterium
Lineage: Bacteria
Description: partial 16S ribosomal RNA
Rfam family: Bacterial small subunit ribosomal RNA
Source: RNAcentral